RNAcentral lists this ribosomal RNA (484 nucleotides) under uncultured bacterium. RNAcentral's name for it is "partial 16S ribosomal RNA". It matches the Rfam family "Bacterial small subunit ribosomal RNA", at positions 30 to 507 of the family's 1533-position model. The record is from RNAcentral.
AUUGAACGCUGGCGGCAGGCCUAACACAUGCAAGUCGAGCGGAUGAAGGGAGCUUGCUCCUGGAUUCAGCGGCGGACGGGUGAGUAAUGCCUAGGAAUCUGCCUGGUAGUGGGGGAUAACGUCCGGAAACGGGAGCUAAUACCGCAUACGUCCUGAGGGAGAAAGUGGGGGAUCUUCGGACCUCACGCUAUCAGAUGAGCCUAGGUCGGAUUAGCUAGUUGGUGGGGUAAAGGCCUACCAAGGCGACGAUCCGUAACUGGUCUGAGAGGAUGAUCAGUCACACUGGAACUGAGACACGGUCCAGACUCCUACGGGAGGCAGCAGUGGGGAAUAUUGGACAAUGGGCGAAAGCCUGAUCCAGCCAUGCCGCGUGUGUGAAGAAGGUCUUCGGAUUGUAAAGCACUUUAAGUUGGGAGGAAGGGCAGUAAGUUAAUACCUUGCUGUUUUGACGUUACCAACAGAAUAAGCACCGGCUAACUUCGUG